CAGAAAGUCAGCUCUAGACUCUGACACUGGGUCUAAAGAGGAGUCAGGCACCACUAUCUCCCAAUCUCAGACCUUAGUAGGGUCAGUUGUCGUAGCUCUAGGUUGCUUGUAUUAGCUGUGCAGUUAUUGCUACCUCCAGGCAUCCCAGGAAAAACCUCAGAGAGCCCUGCUCCACAAAGCUCUCUGUGCCCCAAAGCAUCUACUCAGUGAAAGUUGUGCAUGUUUUAAAUGCAAGAUUAUGAAGUCUCCCUGACACAGCAGACAUCGGGGGCAUGGUGGUUAAUCAUUACUGGUCUGAUGUCUGAUCUCCUCUGUUCCACCUCUUGGAGCACCUCUAUUAAAAAGUCUUUGUUUAGAGAGUUUGAUUUGUGUUGAUCGAGUGAUUAAUAAAAGACAUCACAUACUGUUGUAGGAUGUGUAGAGAACUUGUUAAAAUACCCUCGGCACUGUCUGCAGCUCAUGCCCCUGGACUAGUUGAUUGCUGGUUUUCUGUAUCUUGCAUAGUUGAUAAUUUGCAUUUGAAAUCUUGAGUUAUUGACUUUAAGAAAAAGUCAGAGAAAGAUGGAUUUGACUUGCAGUUAAAAAAUGCUUUAAACAGGUUUGAUAUCAGUGUCAGUGUAUUUAAGGUUCACUCCCUGAUGUCUCUUGAGAUAUUUUCUACUGUUAGUUUAGUGAAGACCCUGAGUCUGGGGGUUGGCAGUUAAACUAGAAUAUGGUUUUUAAUGUGAUUAAUUGUAAUGCAACUGGUGAUAUGAAAUGCUAAGUAGACAGUGAAUUUUUCUCGAGGGGACACAAAUCUUGAGGAACAUUCUGCUGGUCCAAGGCCCAGGGUUCCUUCUAGGGCUGGGCAAUAAACCGAAAAUGUACAGAUACCAAAAUUUACGACAAUGCCGUAAAUGACGUCAUUUUGCCCAUAUCUGUAUAUUCAGUGUCAAACAAAUAAAUAAAUAAAAGUUGGUUUUGGAUGUGUGUAGGUAGGCUUUGGUCUCAUGUCCCUUUAAGACGCUGUCCUAUGUCAGAGAUAUGACUCCACCCCAUCCAGUCCGUAACAAAGAGGGAAAGACAGGUGAGUAGAUGGAAGACGGUAGAAAUAGACAAAGUUAAUGUGGGAGGGGGUGAGCAGCUUGAGAGUAGUUAAUGUCCAUUUAUCGUAAUCUAGGUGAACUUGUUAAUGUAUCCUGAUAUUGAUUUGAGGCCAUAUCGCCCAGCCCUACUUCCUUCACGCUGAUUAAACUGCACACUUUCCUUAAUCACUCAUGAUGUCUCUGCUUAUGCUCAGCCACCACAUCCUCUGGUGCUGCAGCGCCUGCUCAUUGUUGCAACAUGCAUGUUUGUCCCAGAGGGCUUACUACAGCCAGCCCAGUCUUCAAGUAGUAAAUAAUUCAAGAGUUCAUUUCCUGAUGGUGUCCAACACAGGAUGAGGACGCUGCUCUCCUUCCUCCUCCAUCACUCCUUGUAUUAUCAUUACAAUUUGAGCUUUUUGUUUUAAUGGACAUGCUCAAGUGCUCAAGCCUUAUUUUAGUGCUGUUACUUGUCGCCACGACUGCCCCGCUUUGCCCCUUGACCCCUUAAGGUGACCCAGUACAGAGUAAUGCUUUCUCUCAGGAGAUUGCGUGAUGGAUGAAGUGGUGGUGAUGUCAUUGGCUCCCCUCCCUCCUUUGCUUGAACAGGCUCUGUAAUCCUCCUGCGUGCACUCUAAAUAAAUGUGUGUCAUCAUAUCUCCAUCUGCUUUUAUUUGGGACUAUUCAACAUCUUUUUAAAUCCCCUCAUUUUCAAUGCUCAGAAAAUAAUCAGAGUAACAUUAAAAACCGCUCCAUAUAGGAGUGGAGUAUCGUGAUCAUGGUUUUGAAUCUGAGUUUUUAGGGUGUUUUGUAAAAAAAAGAGCAGCAUAAAGCUUUUAAAGAUGUUUGUAAAAGCAGAGUUUGCAAACAGGGCUUGGAGCAUUGGCUCAAGUGGUAACAGUGUAUUAGUGUAACUGUUGUGAAGGAAAUCCUUAGCUAUAGUGCAGAGCCUGUUUGAAUUCAGGACUUAUUUAGGAUUGAAAGAUGCAUCUUAAAGGCUCAGUGUGUAGUAGGGCUGGGCGAUAAACCGAAACUUAGGACAAUAACCAACGUCAUUAUGCCCGUAUGUCGGUAUAUUCGGUGUCAAAAAAAUAAAUAAAAGUUGUUUUGGAUGUGUGUAGACAGGCAAUGGUCUCAUGUCCCUGUCUUACGUCAGAGACGUGACUCCACCCCAUCCAAUCCGUAACAAAGAGGGAAAGACAGGUGAGGAGAUGGAGGACGGUUCAAAAGUUUUUAGCGGCUGAAGUAGACGAAGUUAAUGUGGGAGGGGGUGAGCAGCUUGUGGAGUAGUUAUCAUCCAUUUAUCAUUAUCUAGCUGAAUUGCUCAAUAUAUCAUGAUAUUGAUUUGAGGCCACAUUACCCAGCCCUAGUGUGUAGUAACUUUAGCAGAGGAGACUUCUGAUUCACUCUAAUACAAAACAAAUACACUGCAAUACCAAAACAAUUUACUGUUUGUCACUGAGGAUGUAAUAUUACUAAAAAGGAGAAGUUACUGAAACAGGACCUGGUACUGAACUUUGAGGAACAGAUAGCAACAUGUCAGUUUUCAACACGGCUGCUCAGCAUUUCACCACCAUGAGACAAACAAUCCUGACACCAAGUCCAGUUCCAGAUAUAAUAUACAUCCUAUACCCUCUGUAAACCUUAAAAGAUCAAUUCAGUGAUCAAUUCAGCAUAGCACAUUUUUUCCUCUUUUGUCAUUAGAUACAAUAUCAUCAAACACAGGAAAAGCAGAUCAGUGCUGAACUAAGCUCUAAAACCAGAGUGCUGCGGACCUAAAUAGAGGAUUUCUCAGGAGAAGGGAUCUGAGCCGCCUGUUGAAUCAAGUAUGUUAGACACACAGGACAGAAGCGGAUGAAAAGAGUACGCAGGAUGAGGAUGAACGAUAUCAAAUAUUCUGGGGUGAUUUUUGUAGCAAAGCAAACUUUUCCACACAAUGACAGAGAGCCACAGUGUCAAGAGCUCCACUCAGGAUUGAGAUUGGGUGUUGUAUGUGAGUUGUGAUGGACCGAUGGUGCGCUGAAAGGAUUAUCCGACCACACACCCUCAGGUCAGACUCUGCGCUGCACUGAUGUUGGGUCAUCAUCGCCGCAG
Non-coding RNA from Xyrichtys novacula (pearly razorfish), 3155 nucleotides. Lineage: Eukaryota; Metazoa; Chordata; Actinopteri; Labriformes; Labridae. The record is from the annotation of a GenBank genome assembly.